Molecule: ribosomal RNA, 428 nt
Filed under: uncultured bacterium
Lineage: Bacteria
Description: partial 16S ribosomal RNA
Rfam family: Bacterial small subunit ribosomal RNA
Source: RNAcentral
GUGGGGAAUAUUGGGCAAUGGGCGCAAGCCUGACCCAGCAACGCCGCGUGAGGGAAGAAGGUUUUCGGAUUGUAAACCUCUGUCCUUGGUGACGAAAAAAAUGACGGUAGCCAAGGAGGAAGCCCCGGCUAACUACGUGCCAGCAGCCGCGGUAAUACGUAGGGGGCGAGCGUUGUCCGGAAUUACUGGGCGUAAAGGGUGCGUAGGCGGCGCUUUAAGUUGGAUGUGAAAUGCCCGGGCUUAACCUGGGACCUGCAUUCAAAACUGGAGUGCUGGAGUGCAGAAGAGGGAAGCGGAAUUCCUAGUGUAGCGGUGAAAUGCGUAGAUAUUAGGAGGAACACCAGUGGCGAAGGCGGCUUUCUGGUCUGUAACUGACGCUGAAGCACGAAAGCGUGGGGAGCAAACAGGAUUAGAUACCCUAGUAGUCC